RNAcentral lists this ribosomal RNA (774 nucleotides) under uncultured Neocallimastigales. RNAcentral describes it as "partial large subunit ribosomal RNA". It matches the Rfam family "Eukaryotic large subunit ribosomal RNA", at positions 24 to 649 of the family's 3401-position model. Lineage: Eukaryota; Fungi; Neocallimastigomycota; Neocallimastigomycetes; Neocallimastigales. The record is from RNAcentral.
UAUCUCUGUAGAGUCUGCAUAUCAAUAAGCGGAGGAAAAGAAACUAACAAGGAUUCCCCUAGUAACGGCGAGUGAAGCGGGAAGAGCUCAAAUUUGAAAUCUUCAAGGUUCUACCUUGACGAAUUGUAGUUUAAAGAAGUGUUUUCUGUUGGAGUUUUGGUAAAAGUUCCUUGGAAUAGGACGUCAUAGAGGGUGAGAAUCCCGUAUUUGACCAUUAUUUCCAGCUUUGUGAUACACUUUCAAAGAGUCGGAUUGUUUGGGAAUGCAGUCCAAAAUGGGUGGUAAAUUUCAUCUAAAGCUAGAUAUUGGCGAGAGACCGAUAGCGAACAAGUACCGUGAGGGAAAGAUGAAAAGAACUUUGAAAAGAGAGUUAAACAGUACGUGAAAUUGUCAAAAGGGAAGCGUUUGACACCAGUGUUGUUUUUCCGAAAAUCAAUUACGAAUGUUUUAUUUUUGAGGAGUUAUGACUUCAUCGGCUUGCUCCUUUCUUUAUGAAACUUUCUUAAUGCACUUUUCGGUUAACAAGUCAACAUCAAUUUCUUUUGUUGUAAAAGGGUCAUUGGAAGGUGGCUUUCUUUUCGGAGAAAGUGUUUAUAGCCUUUGGCCUCUGCAAUCGGAGAGAUUGAGGUCUGCAGCGUAGAUCCUUCGGGGUUAGAUACAUUUGUGCUAAGUUAUAGCCUUUCAUAGACAACUUGUUGACUAUGAUCAGUCAUGUAGCUUACUCGCUUAUGCUAUUUUACCUACGCUUAGGAUGUUGAGUAGCGACAUACGCAC